This 449-nucleotide ribosomal RNA is filed under the name uncultured bacterium. Its description in RNAcentral is "partial 16S ribosomal RNA". It matches the Rfam family "Bacterial small subunit ribosomal RNA", at positions 29 to 523 of the family's 1533-position model. The record is from RNAcentral.
AACGAACGCUGGCGGCAUGCCUAACACAUGCAAGUCGAACGAGAUCUUCGGGUCUAGUGGCGCACGGGUGCGUAACGCGUGGGAAUCUGCCCUUUGGUUCGGAAUAACAGUUGGAAACGACUGCUAAUACCGGAUGAUGACGAAAGCCCAAAGAUUUAUCGCCAGAGGAUGAGCCGGCGUAGGAUUAGCUAGUUGGUGUGGUAAAGGCGCACCAAGGCGACGAUCCUUAGCUGGUCUGAGAGGGUGAUCAGCCACACUGGGACUGAGACACGGCCCAGACUCCUACGGGAGGCAGCAGUGGGGAAUAUUGGACAAUGGGCGAAAGCCUGAUCCAGCAAUGCCGCGUGAGUGAUGAAGGCCUUAGGGUUGUAAAGCUCUUUUACCCGGGAUGAUAAUGACAGUACCGGGAGAAUAAGCUCCGGCUAACUCCGUGCCAGCAGCCGCCGUAA